RNAcentral lists this ribosomal RNA (427 nucleotides) under uncultured bacterium. RNAcentral's name for it is "bacterial SSU rRNA". It matches the Rfam family "Bacterial small subunit ribosomal RNA", at positions 355 to 774 of the family's 1533-position model. The record is from RNAcentral.
UAGGGAAUAUUGGACAAUGGGGGCAACCCUGAUCCGGCCAUGCCGCGUGAGUGAAGAAGGCCCUCGGGUUGUAAAGCUCUUUUGUCCGGAAAGAAAAGCAUUCGGUGAAUACCCGGAUGUUCUGACGGUACCGGAAGAAUAAGCACCGGCUAACUUCGUGCCAGCAGCCGCGGUAAUACGAAGGGUGCAAGCGUUACUCGGAAUUACUGGGCGUAAAGCGUGCGUAGGUGGUUGUUUAAGUCUGAUGUGAAAGCCCUGGGCUCAACCUGGGAAUGGCAUUGGAAACUGGGCCGCUAGAGUGCGGUAGAGGGUAGUGGAAUUCCCGGUGUAGCAGUGAAAUGCGUAGAGAUCGGGAGGAACAUCUGUGGCGAAGGCGACUGCCUGGACCAGCACUGACACUGAGGCACGAAAGCGUGGGGAGCAAACA